UACGUAGGGGACAAGCGUUAUCCGGAUUUACUGGGCGUAAAGCGCCCGUAGGCGGCCUGACAAGUUGGACGUGAAAGCUCCUGGCUUAACUGGGAGAGGCCGUUCAAAACUGUCAAGCUAGAGUCUGGAAGAGGAGAGCGGAAUUCCCGGUGUAGUGGUGGAAUGCGUAGAGAUCGGGAGGAACACCAGUGGCGAAAGCGGCUCUCUGGUCCAAAACUGACGCUGAGGGGCGAAGGCGUGGGGAGCGAACGGG
This 253-nucleotide ribosomal RNA is filed under the name uncultured bacterium. RNAcentral's name for it is "partial 16S ribosomal RNA". It matches the Rfam family "Bacterial small subunit ribosomal RNA", at positions 524 to 776 of the family's 1533-position model. The record is from RNAcentral.